CUUGCUCAAACAAAAGAACAUGAAGGAUCAACUACUAACAUGUACAUACAUCAAAAUCCCCAAUUUCGAAACCCUAGAUCACAUCAAUCAAGCCAGAAGAAAUGAGCGAGAGGCCGGUGUCCGUGGGUCGACGAAGAGGUCUAUAAACGCGAAGUCAAAGCUCACAGAUGCAACGACCGCGUCGAAGAUGUCAUCUAUGGAAGAGCCUACUGAUCCCUUCGUCUACUUGGAUCUGGAUAAUGUUACUGUUAUGGAGAGUUAUCUGCAAGCAGAGUCAGUCCCAACUUCUUUUUGUAAUAAAAAUAUUACUAUCUCCUCCUGAAUUCAAUACUCUUGAUGAAACUAUUGCUAAUGAUCUAUUUGUUUUUUUUUCCAAUUUUUUACAUAGUUUUGUCACAAUGUUCAAUCCACACAUUAUACUCCUUUUUAUCUCUAAUAGAUUCAGAAGUCAUGUAAAGAAAUGAAGAAAAUGCCCCUGUUGCAGCAA
Salvia splendens (bonfire salvia) is the source of this 487-nucleotide long non-coding RNA. RefSeq lists it as uncharacterized. The record is from RefSeq and is a predicted model, not a curated record. NCBI's taxonomy places the organism in Eukaryota, Viridiplantae, Streptophyta, Magnoliopsida, Lamiales, Lamiaceae. The transcript has 2 exons.